This 484-nucleotide ribosomal RNA is filed under the name uncultured bacterium. Its description in RNAcentral is "partial 16S ribosomal RNA". It matches the Rfam family "Bacterial small subunit ribosomal RNA", at positions 29 to 507 of the family's 1533-position model. The record is from RNAcentral.
AUUGAACGCUGGCGGCAUGCUUUACACAUGCAAGUCGAACGGCAGCGCGGGCUUCGGCCUGGCGGCGAGUGGCGAACGGGUGAGUAAUACAUCGGAACGUGCCCAGUAGUGGGGGAUAGCUCGGCGAAAGCCGGAUUAAUACCGCAUACGACCUGAGGGUGAAAGCGGGGGAUCUUCGGACCUCGCGCUAUUGGAGCGGCCGAUGGCAGAUUAGCUAGUUGGUGGGGUAAAGGCCUACCAAGGCGACGAUCUGUAGCUGGUCUGAGAGGACGACCAGCCACACUGGGACUGAGACACGGCCCAGACUCCUACGGGAGGCAGCAGUGGGUAAUUUUGGACAAUGGGCGAAAGCCUGAUCCAGCAAUGCCGCGUGUGUGAUGAAGGCCUUCGGGUUGUAAAGCACUUUUGGCGGGAACGAAAAGGACUGUGCCAAUACCACGGUUCGAUGACGGUACCCGCAGAAUAAGCACCGGCUAACUACGUG